AUUUGAAUGCGAAGAUGGAGGCCAUGAUGACCAUUUUGGAAGGUGGAACCCAAGAUCAUGUGCAUUACAAAUGGAAAGAAGAUCUCAUAGAGAUGCUUGAAGAACUUGGCCAAUCUUACCGUGUUUUAUUCAUAUCAUAUAAUCAACUGAAGUCCAAAACAUCCAGCAAUGUGGUGUUAAUUGGAGCAUAGAAAGCUGUCUCCAACAAGUAAUAAAGCUAUGUCAAAGUGGCUCUUUUUCAAGCAUGCAAGAUCUUAUGGGGUUAUAGGUAGCAGCGCAGCUGGGCUCAAAUAUGAUUGCUUGCAACCUUAUUAACAGAAUAUUAGAAUCCCAAUCCAACGUUAUACCAAACCAUCAUACAGUAGAUGCCAUAUACUCCAUUCCUUCAUUCACAUAAUCCAUGACAGACCAAAAUCACCACACCUCAUGACCAAGGAAUCAAUUACCAAGGAGUGACAGCACACACUUAUAAUGAGCGGGGAAAUAUAUGUGGGGCGCGCCUUUAGGCUGGGAUUGCUCUCAUCUGAUCAAUUACUUGGAGGUCAGCAUCACUAUCUCUAAUUACUGCAUUAGUACUAAAUAAAAGAGGCAUUACUAUUGCUAUUUUAAGUUUUUGACAUCUUAGUGUUUAUUAGAAAAAGUUUGUAUGACAUACACCAGUAUGAGUACACUUUUUGAAAGCUAGAAAACAAAGACUCAAAGUUGGGCCUCAGGUACAUAAAGUGAUUGACAGUCUUAUGAGAAGUACAAGCACAAUGACAGUAACCGCAAGAUUGUUACUCCUGACCUGAAGGAAAUUAUCUUUCAGCACUUUAUAAAAAAGAUAAAGAAGGUCAUCACGGAUGAAGAGAUUUUGUGAUUGUAGGGGUGACAAGGUUAUGAAAAGCAUUCUUCUAUGGCAUAUUGCAACACAUAUUUAUGUUAUAACUGUCUCAUGUGAGGAGGAAACAGAUAGCGGAAGGGGUUUAAGUUUUAGAGAAUGAAGCAAAUUGUUAUCAGAGUACAUGUUGUAUCUUAUUGUUAUGAGAACAUCCAUGCUGCCUAAUGGGUUUGGUGGGUAUGUGUCUCCAUUGAUUGGACAUAUAUAUUUCAUACAUAGCGAGAAAGUAGUUUGCAUAAAACUACUCAAACUCCGCACAGAGAUUGAGAAAGUGAGUCAGGUGAAAGGCAAUAGGAGCAAGUAUGCUA
Molecule: long non-coding RNA, 1188 nt
Organism: Lotus japonicus
Lineage: Eukaryota; Viridiplantae; Streptophyta; Magnoliopsida; Fabales; Fabaceae
Exons: 4
Source: RefSeq, a predicted model, not a curated record